This 556-nucleotide long non-coding RNA is filed under the name Serinus canaria (Common canary). Its description in RNAcentral is "lncRNA (ENSSCAG00000001139.1)". Lineage: Eukaryota; Metazoa; Chordata; Aves; Passeriformes; Fringillidae. The record is from RNAcentral.
GGGAUUUCUCACAUGAGGUUUUCUUCUCUCUUUUGGUCUCUAACUGAGGCACAGGUGCUGUUCCUGCUCCAAGGGCCGCUCCCUCGCCUCCUCCCACCUGUGUGAGCAGCCCAGGUGCCCGGCAGGAUCUGGCACUGCCCCAGGGUCUGCCCGGCCCUGCCGGUGCGGCUGCUUUCUCUGGAGCUGCCUCUGCAGGGCGCUGCUCUUUGUGCACAAGUCAAGCAAAAGAACAGUCUGCAGCUCCCUGACUCUGCCAGCACAGAGGAGUCCUGGCCUGGAGGAUUGGGUGGCUCAAGGGGCCAAGCAGAGCUUUCCACUCGAUCGAUCCCAGCUCUGCUGAAGCCGUCUCUGCCUCAGCUGGGAGGAGCCGUGACUCCAGGUUCAGAAUAUCAGAUGACUCUUGGCAGAUAUGAAAUGCUUCUGGAAGCCAAACAGUGGUUCUGUUCAUACCCUUUGGACCACCUUCUUUCCCUUUCAGUGAGGCAGAAUGAAGAACGUGCACAUCUGAUCCCCACAUGCUGACGAAAAGCAAUGAUGGUGCCUGGCCAGUGGCAAA